RNAcentral lists this ribosomal RNA (473 nucleotides) under uncultured bacterium. Its description in RNAcentral is "partial 16S ribosomal RNA". It matches the Rfam family "Bacterial small subunit ribosomal RNA", at positions 355 to 815 of the family's 1533-position model. The record is from RNAcentral.
UGGGGAAUAUUGCACAAUGGGCGCAAGCCUGAUGCAGCCAUGCCGCGUGUGUGAAGAAGGCCUUCGGGUUGUAAAGCACUUUCAGCGAGGAGGAAGGUGGUGAGCUUAAUACGCUCAUCAAUUGACGUUACUCGCAGAAGAAGCACCGGCUAACUCCGUGCCAGCAGCCGCGGUAAUACGGAGGGUGCAAGCGUUAAUCGGAAUUACUGGGCGUAAAGCGCACGCAGGCGGUUUGUUAAGUCAGAUGUGAAAUCCCCGGGCUCAACCUGGGAACUGCAUUUGAAACUGGCAAGCUAGAGUCUCGUAGAGGGAGGUAGAAUUCCAGGUGUAGCGGUGAAAUGCGUAGAGAUCUGGAGGAAUACCGGUGGCGAAGGCGGCCCCCUGGACGAAGACUGACCGCUCAGGUGCGAAAAGCGUGGGGCAGCAAAACAGGAUUAGAUACCCUGGUAGUCCACGCUGUAAAACGAUGUCGA